GGCGGGUUAGCGUAAUGGUUAACGCGUCAGUUUCCGGUGUAAUAUUGAGCUGAAGAUUCCUGGUUCGAGUCCUGGGCCUGUUG
Non-coding RNA from Tephrocybe sp. NHM501043, 83 nucleotides. NCBI's taxonomy places the organism in Eukaryota, Fungi, Basidiomycota, Agaricomycetes, Agaricales, Lyophyllaceae. The record is from the annotation of a GenBank genome assembly.